GACGAACGCUGGCGGUGUGCUUAAUACAUGCAAGUCGAACGAUGAGGUCGCUUUCGGGUGACCAUCAGUGGCGGACGGCUGAGUAACGCGUAGGUAACGUGCCUCUUACUGGGGGAUAACACCGGGAAACCGGUGCUAAUACCGCAUAAGUAGCUGGUUGAAAUACCAGCUAUUAAAGAAUUUCGGUAAGAGAUCGGCCUGCGUCUGAUUAGCUAGUUGGUAGGGUAAGAGCCUACCAAGGCGAUGAUCAGUAGUUGGUCUGAGAGGAUGACCAGCCAGAGUGGGACUGAGACACGGCCCACACUUCUACGGAAGGCAGCAGUAGGGAAUUUUGCGCAAUGGGCGAAAGCCUGACGCAGCAACACCGCGUGUAGGAUGAAGGAUUUCGGUUCGUAAACUACUGUCAGCAGGGAAUAUAAUGACUGUACCUGCAGAGGAAGCAUCGGCUAACUACGUGCCAGCAGCCGCGGUAAGACGUAGGAUGCAAGCGUUGUCCGGAAUUAUUGGGCGUAAAGAGUUCGUAGGCGGUUUCUCAAGUCUGGUGUUAAAUACUGGCGCUCAACGCCAGCAUGGCAUUGGAAACUGGGAGACUAGAGUGCGGUAGAGGUCACGGGAAUUCCUGGUGUAGCGGUGAAAUGCGUAGAUAUCAGGAGGAACACCGGUGGCGAAAGCGCGUGACUGGGCCGUAACUGACGCUGAGGAACGAAAGCCAGGGUAGCAAAAGGGAUUAGAUACCCCUGUAGUCCUGGCCGUAAACGAUGGAUACUAGGUGUAGGUGGAUUCGACCCCAUCUGUGCCGUAGCUAACGCGAUAAGUAUCCCGCCUGGGGAGUACGCUCGCAAGAGUGAAACUCAAAGGAAUUGACGGGGGCCCGCACAAGCGGUGGAACAUGUGGUUUAAUUCGAUGCAACGCGAAGAACCUUACCUGGGCUUGACAUCUACGGAACCUGCGUGAAAGCGUGGGGUGCCUUCGGGAGCCGUAAGACAGGUGGUGCACGGUUGUCGUCAGCUCGUGUCGUGAGAUGUUGGGUUAAGUCCCGCAACGAGCGCAACCCUCGUGGUCUGUUGUUACAGGUCGUAAGAUGCUGAACCCUCAGGCCAGACUGCCGGUGACAAACCGGAGGAAGGUGGGGAUGACGUCAAAUCAUCACGCCCCUUAUGUCCAGGGCUACACACGUGUUACAAUGGGUAACGGACAAUGGGCAGCUUGGCAGCGAUGUCUGGCAAAUCCUGAAACCGUCCCUCAGUUCGGAUCGUAGUCUGCAACUCGACUACGUGAAGUCGGAAUCGCUAGUAAACGCAGAUCAGCACGCUGCGUUGAAUACGUUCCCGGGCCUUGUACACACCGCCCGUCACACCACGAAAGAGGGUUAUGCCCGAAGUCGGUGUCCCAACCGUAAGGAGGGAGCCGCCUAAGGUGGAACUCUUGAUUGGGGUG
This 1438-nucleotide ribosomal RNA is filed under the name uncultured bacterium. Its description in RNAcentral is "bacterial SSU rRNA". It matches the Rfam family "Bacterial small subunit ribosomal RNA". The record is from RNAcentral.